RNAcentral lists this long non-coding RNA (2061 nucleotides) under Homo sapiens (human). Its description in RNAcentral is "non-protein coding lnc-NHSL2-6:1". Lineage: Eukaryota; Metazoa; Chordata; Mammalia; Primates; Hominidae. The record is from RNAcentral.
AGAAGGUGAUCUCUGCCUUCGAGACACGGAGUGUGCUGCCUCAGUCUGUGAUCCCUCGCGUUUCAAUCCAAUUCAAACCAUGCUGCAGCCAAUUCGUUCGCGCGUGCGUGUGCCAUCAUUGUGAGUGGAGGAGACUGCCCGAUAUGAUCCCAGUCAUUGCGGCGACCCCUGGAGAUCUCCAACGCCUGCGUCCCCCAACCAUACCCUGCCCCGCAUCCACAGAUAUCUUCCCUUCCUUGAUCGCCAGUACCUGGCACUGACCGUGCUUUGAAUUCAAACACCCUGGGAGGCAUAGUCCCUGUGAUUUAAACUAACAUUGAAGAAGCGACCAGACGCGGUGGUUCACGCCUGUAAUCCCAGCACUUUGGGAGACCGGGGCGGGCGGAUCACGUGAGGUCAGGAGUUCGAGACCAACCUGGCUAAAAUGGUGACACCCCGUCUCUACUAAAAAUACAAAAAAUUAGCCGGGCGUGGUGGCGGGCGCCCGCAGUCCCAGCUACUCGGGUGGCUGAGGCACGAGAAUCGCUUGGACCCAGGAGGUGGAGGUUGCAGUGAGCCGGGAUUGCACCACUGCACUCCAGCCUGGGUGGCAAAGCGAGACUCCAUCUCAAAAAAAAAAAAAAAAAAAAAAAAGGCUGGGUGCAGUGCCUCACGCCUGUUAUCCUAGCCUUUUGGGAGGCUAAGGUGGGAGGAUCACUUGCACUUAGGAGUUCGAGACCAGCCUGGGCAACAUGGUGAGACUCCCGUCUCUUUAAAAAAAAUUUUUUUCUUCUCCACAGGGCGUUAUGCUGUAUUUAUUUUCUUAAAAAGAGAGAGAGAAAGAGAGAAGGGUCUUCAAGAAUCUCAAACCCUGGAGGUGGAGGCUGCAGUGAGCCAAGAUCAUGCCACUGCACUCCAGCCUGGGUGACAGAGAAAGACUCCAUCUCAAAAAAAAAAAAAAAAUUAAAGUUCUUAUUUAAGAAAUAAGUAACUAGGUUCACAUACUUGGUAUAAUAAAAGGAAGACAAAAAUAAUUUAAAAAAAAAGAAGUAGUGCUGUGGUCAUCAUUUCUUCAGAAGCACCAACUAAGAUACAGUCAUUUUCAAAUGCAGAGCCUAAAAAGAAGGCAGAGCCUAGAGCUUAAGGAAAUGUGAUUGAGUUUAAGUGGCUUGCUUGGGUGACACUAAAUAGGAGGUUGUGGGCCAACAAAAAUUGUCCUUGUUCAUAUACUGUUAAGAACACAGACAUGACUCCUCAAGACACUAAUUUAGCAUUCAGUAUUGGAAAACUCACCUAUUGGCCCAGUCAUACAUCAUAUGUCCAGAGAAUUUUAAGCUUUUCAUAAAAUUUAUAGACCGUUAUGAGUUAAAAGGAAUGUUGGAGGCCGGGUUCAGUGGCUCACUGAACCUGUAAUCCCAGCACUUUGGGAGGCCGAGGCGGGCGGAUCACCUGAGGUCAGGAGUUCAAGACCAGCCUGGCCAAAUGGUGAAACCCCCGUCUCUACAAAAAUUAGCUGGGCAUGGUGGCGGGUGCCUGUAAUCCCAGCUUCUCGGGAGGCUGGGGUGGAAGAAUCGCUUGAACCCAGGAGGCAGACGUUGCAGUGAGCUGAGAUCGUGCCAUUGCACUCCAGCCUGGGCGACAGAGCAAGACUCCAUCUCAAAAAAAAGAAAAGGGUUGGGGGGAGGUGGGGGAUCUUGGAGAACAUGGGCUAUUUUCCUGGUUUGUAUGACUUUAAGGCCUUUAUUAAGAGGCCUUUUAGUAUACUAUUAUCCACAUUUUUCAGAUGUGGAAACAGGCUCAGAGAGAUAAAUUGACUUCAUCUAAGCUUCCUGAGCUAGGAAGCAGCAGAGCCAGAAUUCAAUACUAGGUCCAUAUGGACACAAAUCUGUGCCGUUUCGCUGUGUCACACUGGAAAGAAGAGGGCAGUGGCGGGAAAUGAGGUUGAUGAGGCAGUUGAAGGCCAGGUUAUGAAGGAACUUGUUUACUCUGCUAAAGUGUUUGAAUCACAUCUUUUCCUGGAGGCAAGCUUGGAUUGGGCUGUGCUAUGGUCUGAAUGUCCUUCAAAAUUCUUGUGUUGAAACU